RNAcentral lists this unclassified non-coding RNA (204 nucleotides) under soil metagenome. Its description in RNAcentral is "partial contains small subunit ribosomal RNA, internal transcribed spacer 1, and 5.8S ribosomal RNA". The record is from RNAcentral.
UCUCCGUAGGUGAACCUGCGGAGGGAUCAUUACCGAGCGAGGGCCUCCGGGUCCGACCUCCAACCCUUUGUGAACACAUCCCGUUGCUUCGGGGGCGACCCUGCCGGGCGCCCCCGGAGGACCACUUCAAAACACUGCAUCCAAUGCGUCGGAGUUUACGAGUAAAUCGAAACAAAACUUUCAACAACGGAUCUCUUGGUUCUG